RNAcentral lists this ribosomal RNA (497 nucleotides) under uncultured bacterium. RNAcentral's name for it is "partial 16S ribosomal RNA". It matches the Rfam family "Bacterial small subunit ribosomal RNA", at positions 28 to 507 of the family's 1533-position model. The record is from RNAcentral.
GAUGAACGCUGGCGGCGUGCCUAAUACAUGCAAGUCGAGCGAACGGACGAGAAGCUUGCUUCUCUGAUGUUAGCGGCGGACGGGUGAGUAACACGUGGAUAACCUACCUAUAAGACUGGGAUAACUUCGGGAAACCGGAGCUAAUACCGGAUAAUAUUUUGAACUGCAUGGUUCAAAAGUGAAAGACGGUCUUGCUGUCACUUAUAGAUGGAUCCGCGCUGCAUUAGCUAGUUGGUAAGGUAGCGGCUUACCAAGGCAACGAUGCAUAGCCGACCUGAGAGGGUGAUCGGCCACACUGGAACUGAGACACGGUCCAGACUCCUACGGGAGGCAGCAGUAGGGAAUCUUCCGCAAUGGGCGAAAGCCUGACGGAGCAACGCCGCGUGAGUGAUGAAGGUCUUCGGAUCGUAAAACUCUGUUAUUAGGGAAGAACAUAUGUGUAAGUAACUGUGCACAUCUUGACGGUACCUAAUCAGAAAGCCACGGCUAACUACGUG